Molecule: long non-coding RNA, 780 nt
Organism: Seriola dumerili (greater amberjack)
Lineage: Eukaryota; Metazoa; Chordata; Actinopteri; Carangiformes; Carangidae
Exons: 7
Source: RefSeq, a predicted model, not a curated record
GCCGCUGCUGUGUCCCACCGCGGCAGUUUUAAUUGGACUGGUAAACAGAGUCCAGUAAAUACAGAGCCACAGUAGUAACUAUUAAAUGACUUUAGCUGGACUGCAGUUGAGUGUUCAGUUAAAACGUGGUAUCUGUUGGCUGCAGAGAAAUGUUAGUGUUCAGGGUGUCAGUCAGGCCUCAAGCAGCCACGUGGGGAGGACUGAAAGAUGGAGAAGGUAAAAGACAAAGUGGGCUUCAGCUUGGCAGCUCCUUGCAUGAGUUUGAUAAAUGUAAUCAGUCGUCCACUCAACUCAAGAGGUCAGAAUGUGCCUGUUCAAGAUGAUGCAAAGUCAAGACUGAGCUCAAGAAGAAGCAACAGAAGUUGAGUCCAGGGAAAUGCACCUGCUGCUGACAGCUGUUUGAACUGCAGCAGUGCAUGUGCUGCCAUCUUCACCAACUGACUGAAGAUUCAUUUCAUGAAGGUUGAGCUUCUUCCUUUUUGAAAGGAAGAGAUUCAUCUUAUGUCGUGCAGCUGCAGCAACACCAUCGAGAUGUUCUCUGUGCCGUUAUGCCAGUGGGCUCCUGACCCCUGAAGUCUGCUGUCGAGUGAAUUUGACAGAUUUGGAUCCAUGUGGUUGCAGCGGCCCUCGUACACCUACAGUCUUCACAUGGUAAGAUUGUCUCUACAGAUUUACUAGGACAUAGAUUUAUAGUUAUACCAUGAGCUCUAGAUGGGUUUCUUACUUCACCUGCACGUCCACUUCAUACAAAAGUAGAUACAAUGUACUUGUAAUGUUUUA